RNA transcript from Musa acuminata AAA Group (dessert banana), 1498 nucleotides. It is a transcript of the gene named protein CONSERVED ONLY IN THE GREEN LINEAGE 160, chloroplastic, with no coding region annotated. NCBI's taxonomy places the organism in Eukaryota, Viridiplantae, Streptophyta, Magnoliopsida, Zingiberales, Musaceae. The record is from RefSeq and is a predicted model, not a curated record. The transcript is spliced from 11 exons.
GAAGGGCGUCGCACUACGUGUCGUCACAUUUUGGGUCGGGAGCGGCACGGCAGUGGACGGGAGACGACGAUGGCCGCCCUCAACGCCUCCGCCUGCGCCGCCUUCCGCUCCGUCGUACGCUCGGCGGCGGAUUCUCCGAUCGAUGACCCGUCCCCCUCCCUCCCCACCCGCGUCGUCCUCCCCAAGAAGAAGCCGCUCAAGUGGUCCACCGGCGUCGCCCCCGGCGAGUACGGCGGCCCUCCGACCACCACCAAGCUCCGGAAGUACUGGGGCGGCGGGGACGAGGAUCCUGUGACCGCCACUGAUGACUUCAUCUGGAACAAGGAGUUCCUCGGCCGCAUGCAGCAGUUACUCGACGAAGACCAGGCGACCCCCAAUCCUGUUCCUUCGCUGCAGAAGGAGCCGGAUUCAGGUUUCCUAAGCCUCAACCGAGCUCUGAGUCUCGACAGCAUAGAGAUUGACCUGAGCGAAGAGCUGAAGCCGCCACCGAAGCCGGUGUUGGAACAGCAGGUAGAGGCCGCGAGGAAUGGCCUUUCGGCAACCGAAGGCACGAAUGAUACUGCAUCACCGAGGUGGAGGUUGGUCCCUACUCGGAGGGAGCAAGCAAAGUGGGAUAGAGCGAGUAAGGCGGCCACCGGUGGCAGUGAUGUUAUUUUACGAGAAUCAAAGAGGGCUCGUGGGGAUCCCAAGGUCUUAGCAGCCCAAUCACAAGAGCAGUAUAUUAAGUUGAAACGGAAGCUACAAAUUCUCACUGUCAGUAUUGGUGGCAUCGGAGUUGUCUCUGCAUACUUUUCCUACUCUCCUGAAAUUGCAGCCAGCUUUGGUGCAGGGUUGCUUGGUUCUUUGGCGUAUAUACGCAUGCUAGGCAAUACCAUUGAUUCAAUGGCAAAUGGCGCAAAAGGGUUUGUCAAGGGAGCUGCUGGACAACCAAGGCUGCUGGUUCCGGUUGCACUAGUAAUGAUGUAUAAUAGGUGGAAUGAGAUAUUAGUACCAGAUUAUGGCUUCAUGCACUUGGAGUUGAUACCGAUGCUCGUUGGGUUUUUCACCUACAAAGUUGCUACAUUCGUCCAAGCUAUUCAGGAUGCGCUGGAUGUAGUUGAGAGAAGGAGCUAAUCGUGAUGAUUCCCUGGGUUGCAGAAGACACUCGACACUAUAUGUUUUGAGCAUGACACUGGAACCUGUUAGCAGUUUGAUAUCUUCUCUGCUUUGGCUUCCCCCAGAAUCAUGAAGAGACUAUUCCCAUUGCUUGACUACAUAGGUAUGCUAAAAACAAGUCUUGGUGACCGAGCUAAGCAGACCACAGCUAAACAAGUCUUGUUGACAGAAUUGGCAUGUGAAUAUAUCUCAUGUGUUUCUAAUAUCUCAUUUAUAAGAAAAUGAGAGUCUGAUGAUAUCAUCCUAAUUGUGUUCUAGGCGGCAUGCAGGAUGAUUUCUUGCAUGCAUCUUGUAAUGAUCGUAGGAUCGUCUGUCAUCUAAUUUUUUGUGUUCUUUUGACCUA